CCACGGGAGGCAGCAGUGAGGAAUAUUGGUCAAUGGGCUUACGCCUGAACCAGCCAAGUCGCGUGAGGGAAGACUGCCCUAUGGGUUGUAAACCUCUUUUGUCAGGGAGCAACGCCGGCUACGUGUAGCCGGACUGAGAGUACCUGAAGAAAAAGCAUCGGCUAACUCCGUGCAAGCAGCCGCGGUAAUACGGAGGAUGUGAGCGUUAUCCGGAUUUAUUGGGUUUAAAGGGUGCGUAGGCGGAAUGCCAAGUCAGCGGUAAAAUCGCGGGGCUCAACCUCGCUCCGCCGUUGAAACUGGCGUUCUUGAGUGGGCGAGAAGUAUGCGGAAUGCGUGGUGUAGAGGUGAAAUGCAUAGAUAGCACGCAGAACUCCGAUUGCGAAGGCAGCAUACCGGCGCCCAACUGACGCUGAAGCACGAAAGCGUGGGUAUCGAACAGGAUUAGAUACCCGGGUAGUC
RNAcentral lists this ribosomal RNA (459 nucleotides) under uncultured bacterium. RNAcentral describes it as "partial 16S ribosomal RNA". It matches the Rfam family "Bacterial small subunit ribosomal RNA", at positions 339 to 795 of the family's 1533-position model. The record is from RNAcentral.